This 350-nucleotide ribosomal RNA is filed under the name uncultured bacterium. RNAcentral describes it as "bacterial SSU rRNA". It matches the Rfam family "Bacterial small subunit ribosomal RNA", at positions 917 to 1267 of the family's 1533-position model. The record is from RNAcentral.
GGGCCCGCACAAGCGGUGGAGCAUGUGGUUUAAUUCGAUGCAACGCGAAGAACCUUACCAGGGUUUGACAUCCUGCGAAUCUCUUGGAAACAGGAGAGUGCCUUCGGGAACGCAGUGACAGGUGGUGCAUGGCUGUCGUCAGCUCGUGUCGUGAGAUGUUGGGUUAAGUCCCGCAACGAGCGCAACCCACGUCUUUAGUUGCCAGCAUUUAGUUGGGCACUCUAGAGAGACUGCCGGUGAUAAACCCGGAGGAAGGUGUGGAUGACGUCAAGUCAUCAUGCCCCUUACAUCCUGGGCUACACACGUACUACAAUGGCUGGUACAGAGGGCUGCGAACCCGCGAGGGCAAG